ACUUCCUCCUUGCCGGAGCUGUAUCCGGGUCGCUCUUCUCCCUAUUGUCUCUGACAGUCGGCCCUAGGCUGUGGAAAAUUCUGGGUCUUUUGUUGCUUCUGGUGCAGGCUAAUAAAGUUUUCUUUUUAUUUCCAGUUUUCACCGGGGCAGUUCCCCUCGCAGGGCGGCCGGUUCGGGCCUGGCGCCCCUGGCCGGGGAGCGCGGGGGAAGGGGCGCCGGGCGGGCGCGGGGCGUGGGGAGGGACGGUAGCCCGGCCCCGGGGUCGCCCCUGCUCGGUCGGCGCACCGCCCUGCCUCAGUCGCUGCUCUCCGGUCUGUCUCCUUGGCCCUCUGCGCGGCCCCGCUGCCUUGCCUCUCACAGCCUUCCCUAGGUCUCCAAACGACCACCUCACGGAUUCCUUAUGGAUCGCAGCUCCAAGAGGAGGCAGGUGAAGCCUUUGGCCGCUUCUCUCCUGGAAGCUCUUGAUUAUGAUAGUUCAGAUGACAGUGAUUUUAAAGUUGGAGAUGCUUCAGAUUCUGAAGGGAGUGGUAAUGGAAGUGAAGACCCUUCAAAGGACAGUGGAGAAGGUUCCUGUAGUGAUUCUGAGGAAAACAUUUUAGAAGAAGAACUGAGUGAAGAUAUUCAAGUAAAAGAAGAACAGCUUAAAAAUUCUACAGAGGAAAUGCCAGCAGACAAACAGUUAAUUAAAAUGGAAAAGAAGGAAGAGGAAGAAAAUGGAGAAAGACCUAGAAAGAAAAAGGAGAAAGAGAAGGAGAAAGAAAAGGAAAGGGAGAAGGACAAAGAAAAGGCAACAGUAUCUGAUAGUGCAGCUGCUUCUGCUGCUGGCACCACACCGGCCACAAGCCCUCCUGCUGUUACCUCCCCUUCUGUCNCNACCACCACCACCACCACCACCACCACGGAGGAACAAGUCAGUGAACCCAAGAAAUGGAAUCUUCGUCGAAACCGUCCCCUGUUGGACUUUGUAUCCAUGGAAGAACUGAAUGAUAUGGAUGAUUANGACAGUGAAGAUGAUAAUGACUGGAGACCUACUGUAGUAAAGAGAAAGGGGAGAUCGGCAUCUCAGAAGGAGGGCAGUGAUGGCGACAAUGAGGAUGAUGAAGAUGAGGGAAGUGGGAGUGAGGAAGAUGAGAAUGAUGAGGGCAAUGAUGAAGAUCAUAGCAGCCCUGCUAGCGAAGCAGGUGGCAAGAAGAAGAAGAGUAAAGUUCUUAGCAGAAACAGUGCUGAUGAUGAGGAACUGACCAAUGAUAGCCUGACCCUAUCUCAGAGCAAGAGUAAUGAGGACUCUCUGAUUCUUGAGAAGAGUCAAAACUGGAGUUCUCAGAAAAUGGACCACAUUCUGAUUUGCUGUGUUUGUCUUGGAGAUAAUAGUGAAGAUGCAGAUGAAAUAAUUCAGUGUGACAAUUGUGGCAUUACAGUUCAUGAAGGUUGUUAUGGAGUCGAUGGGGAGAGUGACUCUAUCAUGAGUUCGGCUUCUGAAAACUCCACUGAGCCUUGGUUUUGUGAUGCCUGUAAAUGUGGUGUAUCUCCUAGCUGUGAACUAUGUCCUAAUCAGGAUGGGAUUUUCAAGGAGACGGAUGCUGGAAGAUGGGUCCACAUCGUUUGUGCCCUAUAUGUUCCUGGAGUAGCCUUUGGAGAUAUUGAUAAAUUACGACCAGUAACAUUAACAGAAAUGAACUAUUCUAAAUAUGGUGCCAAGGAGUGUAGCUUUUGUGAAGAUCCUCGCUUUGCUAGAACUGGAGUUUGCAUUAGCUGUGAUGCAGGCAUGUGUAGAGCCUAUUUUCAUGUUACCUGUGCCCAGAAGGAAGGCCUGCUUUCAGAGGCAGCGGCAGAAGAGGAUAUAGCAGAUCCAUUUUUUGCUUAUUGUAAGCAGCAUGCAGACAGGUUAGACAGAAAAUGGAAAAGAAAAAACUACUUGGCUCUACAAUCCUAUUGUAAAAUGUCAUUGCAAGAGAGAGAAAAACAGCUGUCUCCUGAAGCACAGGCAAGGAUCAAUGCCCGACUACAGCAAUAUCGUGCCAAGGCAGAGCUGGCUCGAUCUACCAGACCACAAGCCUGGGUUCCAAGGGAAAAGCUACCCAGGCCACUCACAAGUAGUGCUUCGGCCAUUCGUAAGCUUAUGCGCAAAGCAGAACUGAUGGGAAUCAGUACGGAUAUUUUUCCAGUGGACAACUCAGAUACUAGUUCUAGUGUGGAUGGAAGGCGGAAGCAUAAGCAACCAGCUCUCACUGCUGAUUUUGUGAAUUACUAUUUUGAGAGAAAUAUGCGCAUGAUUCAAAUUCAGGAAAAUAUGGCUGAACAAAAGAAUAUAAAGGAUAAAUUAGAGAAUGAGCAAGAAAAGCUUCAUGUAGAAUAUAAUAAGCUCUGUGAAUCAUUAGAGGAACUGCAAAAUCUGAAUGGGAAACUUCGAAGUGAAGGGCAAGGGAUAUGGGCCUUACUUGGCCGAAUUACAGGGCAGAAGUUGAAUGUACCAGCAAUCUUACGAGCACCUAAGGAAAGAAAACCAAGUAAAAAAGAAGGAGGCACACAAAAGACAUCUACUCUUCCUACAGUGCUUUAUAGUUGUGGAAUUUGUAAGAAGAACCAUGAUCAGCAUCUUCUUUUACUGUGUGACACCUGUAAACUGCAUUAUCAUCUCGGCUGCCUUGAUCCUCCUCUUACAAGGAUGCCGAGAAAGACGAAAAACAGUUAUUGGCAAUGCUCAGAGUGUGACCAGGCAGGGAGCAGCGACAUGGAAGCAGAGAUGGCCAUGGAAACCUUACCAGAUGGAACAAAACGAUCAAGGAGACAGAUUAAGGAGCCAGUGAAGUUUGUGCCACAGGAUGUCCCACCAGAACCUAAGAAGAUUCCAAUAAGAAACACGAGAACCAGAGGACGAAAGCGAAGCUUUGUUCCUGAGGAAGAAAAACAUGAGGAAAGAGUUCCUAGGGAAAGGAGGCAGAGGCAGUCUGUGUUACAAAAGAAGCCCAAAGCUGAAGACUUAAGAACUGAAUGUUCAACUUGCAAAGGAACUGGAGAUAAUGAGAAUCUCGUCAGAUACCCUUCAUGAGACCCAACUCUGCCACAGCUCAUCCUCGGAGGCAGUCCUGGAAACCUCUUUUAUAAGUGUGAUUUUAAAAUGUGGAUAAAACUCUCAGUAGAGCAUAUAAACUAAAGGAGAACAGCAGCUAUCUUGUUCUUCCCAUAAGCUUAUCACUGCAGAAAGUGCUUUUGCUUGUCAAGUUUGGAUAGAAUGUAAUUGAUUGCUUUAUUAUAUGGGUAGACAAGGCAGUUAAUUUGCCUGCGUGGAUUUCCUUUUUCUAUUUUUCUUUUUUCUCUUUUCUCUUUUCUCUUUUCUCUUCUCUCUUCUCUCUUCUCUCUUCUCUCUUCUCUCUCUCUCUCUCUCUCUCUCUCUCUCUCUCUCUCUGUUACAAUAUUCAGAAACACUGGGUGUAUGUAUUAUUAAAAACAAUAGUGGUAAUGUCUUAUCAGAAUUAUUUUAGUUGGUAAAUGUCUUCCCUCUUGUUUCUUUGGCAUAAUACAAUGCAGUAUUUGGACUGAAAACUAAAGGAAGCCAGUGGGGCUUUCCUGCUCUGUGCUCCCCUGUUACUGAAUUACUCUCUGUGUGUUAUUUGUUUGUAAAAAGGACAAUGCUUCCCACUGAUCUGCAGGUCUGUAUCACCUCCCUUACUGCGUGUAUUCACAUACGAGAACAACCCUAGACUCAUAUGUAAUGCUAUUUCUAUUUGUGUAUCCAGCAAAAGUGAAGGACUGGUGAAGAUUACAACUCUUUGAGUACUGUGGAAGCACUUGAUGUCAGCACGGACAUUUUAUAACUAGAAAUUCAACUCAAGAAUGAACAUAGUACCUGUAUUAGUAUUUAGGUAUUUUUUUCCAGAAAUAUCAAAAUUUAUUCCUUUUUGUUUUAUUUAAUAUGAACUUGUUGUGUUCCAUAUAAUUUUACAUUUGAACUUAAAUGUGAAGCUAUUAAAUGCGGGAAAUACAGAGCUUGUUGUGUAUACAGCCUGCCUGCUGAACGAUCUUCACCAGCCCCUGUAUCUUCCCAGAGGUUCACAGAGUUUACAUUUGAUCCUCAUGCUUUACUGAUCCAGAUUUAAGCCAACAGCAGAAAUACUUUGAAUAUUGCACCACCUAAUCUUGAACUGAUUUAGAAGAGCCUGCUGAAAUUGAAAUGCACAUAUACAUGUAAAUUGUCAAACUGUCUCUUAAAAUUCCAUUGUUUAUCAUUGUGGGUUUGGGCCUUUUCAGGUAUAAGGGCAUUUGGAAUAGUUUAAACUUUAGGAUUAGAAUAGAUAGUAAAUGCAAGUGUAAUUGUAAAGCUGGUGUUUCUAGUAAUCUGUAGUUAAAGGAACCAUAUGAGUGCAUAAAAUGUUUAGUAAAAUUAAACAUGUAUGAAAUAAUGUAUAAGGAUAUUAGUAAUUUAUUGAUCUUAUUGCACUGGAAAAAAUACUCAUAAUUCUUAGGAAAAGCAGUAUACUUUCUUUGAAUAUAAGGAAGAGGCAAUUGACAUUACUUAACUUAUAGCAAAGAUGGUGAACUCCAGAAAAGUUUAAGAGAAAUGACAAUGGAUGCUUACCAUUUUUCAAAUGAACUCUGCUUUAGUCAAAUUGUCUUUUAGCAUAAAGUAAGAAAACAUUAAUGAGUAUUUUUUAAUUUAGGGUUUCUUUUUCCCUCUGAUGGGUUUCUGUUUUGGUUUUGAGAAAUCAUAGGUAGUAUCAUGGUUGUAGUGGUAGUGUUAACCAAAAGCCUUUCCACGGUGGUUACUGUUAGAACAGUGUAAUUGUCAUUCUUCACCAUUCAGUUUUCAGUGGUAUAUAAGCUUGGUAAAAGCCCCAUGUUACAUGUUGUCACAGUUCCUACAUGAUAUAGUCUUCAAAGUCAUAUUCAGAGCAGAAUGAAGCAUUUCUUUUAAUAAUAUCCUAAAUGAAGUACAUUAACUUUUGCACGUUAUUGGCCUUUUGCUCUUCAAGAUAAAAAUUAAUGUUUAUCUGUAAAAACAUUCUAAGUAAUUUAUAUCUUAUAAAUUUAUAACACAUAAGAGAAUGACAGACAGCUCAGUUAUUUGACAGUUAUUUGCUGCAGGAUAGGAAACGGAAGGAAUAUUAAAAUGUCAGGAAAGGGCUGAUAUUUUAAGGGAGAGUGCUUAAUUGGUAAAGUGCCAUAUUAGCAUCAGUACCUACCCAUGUGAAAAGCUGGCACAGACUUAUACCCUAGUAAUGCAAAACACAGGCUAAAGGAUCUCUGUAAUUGACUGGUAAGUCACCCUACAGAUUUGGCAAAUACCAGGCCAAUGAGAGGCCAUUUAUCAAAAAAUGUGGUGGAGGAUUUCUGAAGCUGCAUGGCAGACCAACACACACACUCACAAACACACACACACACACACACACACACACGAACACACACACACAUGAUACUACCCCCCCCCCCCGCUAACACAUAGUUAGCUCCCCUAACAUAUAAUAUUGGGAAAGAAAUGAAAUGCCUCUGAAAUACCAAAUGGCUGGAAUGGUAGUCAUGUAUCAGAGUCGCAGGAAGAACUUUGAGACUCAGUUGACUAUCAUCUUCUUCUUAUCCUCCAGCUCCACCAAAUGUUCUCUCCAUCACUUUCUGGAGUUUCUAAUUCUGUAGGUCUGUGAUGAACCUCAAAAAUUUGAGUUCGUAGCAGGUUUCAAGUAAUGUUGAUUGAGCUGGUCAAGGGCAUUACUUUGAAAACAAUUCAUAUAUAGUUAUCUGUUUAAAAUAAUCAUUAGUUUGUUCAAUGUUGAUUAAUAAUGGUUGUGGGUUUAAUGCCUUUAAGGGGCUCUUCGAUUCCUCAAAAGAUUUGUUUCUAGACAAAGGGUUUGUAGAAAAGUAGUGUCUUCUGAAUCCAAGUACAACUUCCUUAAUUAGAAAAAUCCAGUUAAGGAUUUCUUCAUUAAUAGAGCAACACUGCUUGCCCAAAAUGUCAUAAUCCGUUCAUUUAACAAGAACAGUUUUGUACGAGAACAAAUUUUAGCCUUAGUGUGUAUUGAGUUUAAGUUUAGAUAUUUAUGUAUCAGUUAUGUAACACCACAUCUUGUGUUUCUUGAAUGUGUAUCUGAAACCAUAUGUGGCAUAAAAUUAGUUUUCUGACAAAUAAUGUUCACAUUUGUUAACUUACUUUCCUGUUUAUGCAACAGUGAACUACUUUUUAAACACUCAUAUUUACAAACUUUAAACACACACACAUACACACCUCCUCACAUGUAUCUUUUACUUGACUCACAAUAUGGAAAUAUUUCACCCAGAUCUGUUUAAAAAUUCAGGAGGAUUCUGCAACAGAUUUAGAAUAUUAACAUUUUCUGAAACAUUUUCAGUUUUCUGAAAUUAUUUUUGACUUUUCAUACUUGUUUAAGACAUAUCAAGACUUAUGAAGGCAGAGUUUAUCUCUACCUGACUUGAGUCACUACUUUGUAAAUUUAGAUAUUUGUAAGGAAUGCGAACAGAGACGGGAUUUACAAGUGGAUCUUCAUAGAAAGAAAAAUGUAGGCUGCUUUACUGUAGUGAUCACCUCAAGGUGCUCUGUAAGCCUGUCAGUAAGAUUGACUGCUGUUCAGGUACUUAGGAUGUAAUGAAAUUGAAUGUUCAUGCUGGGCUUGGUAAAUAAAAUGAGAUUGACCUCCUAGCCAUUAUCUCCUUUAUCUGAUUUACAUUGUAAAAUCAGGAUCUACACUAUUGAUUGGAGUAUAAUUAGUUAAUUAUGAACAGGAAAAUGCAAAAUUACAUGGAGCUUGAACACAGCAGGUUGCAGUGCUAAAAUCUUUCCCAGGGCAUGAGCAGAGGGAGAUCAGUUUAUUAGAGAACAAAGCAGAUGAGUUUAAGGUACGGAAAUGUCUAAUCUAUUUCUCAUGCUGUGAAGAGAUAUUUGCCCUUAUUUUGUAUUGUCACGAAUUGCCUUGUUUCUUGUUCUGGGUUUCCUUGUUUUUGUUUUGUUUUGUUUUCUUAUUUCACUUUUAAAGUUGCAAGCUGGCUGUUGCAGAUAUAAAUACUGAAUUGAUUCCACACUUUAGGUGGGAUUGGAUUUGGCUUUUCCCAAAUAGUGUUCACAUUAUCAAUAUCCAUCUGUAAUGAGAAAUUUUAGAUCACGCACUCAUUUCACUGUUUCCUGUGAGAGAAGUCCCCAGUAGCAUUCACAAAAUAGGUUCAUCAUUUUUUCUGAUGUUUGUGAAAUAUGACUUAAAACAAGUUUUGAAUUAACAUUUAUAGAAAGCAUUCAUGUGGGUGGUGGCUUGCACUAAAAUUGUUACCUGUUACAAGGAUUAAAAUAGUUUACUUAUAGAUAUUGUACCAUUGAUAGAAUGUAGGGUUUUGUAACAGCUAUUAUUUAAAAUUUUUUAAUUGGCCUCACUAUAUAUUUAUUCUACAUAUUAAGACAUUUAAUUGAAAUGAUUGAUCAGUGUUCACUGCAGUAACUUACCACAGUUAGUUGCUAAAAUUGUAUUUGAAUUCCUAGUAAGGUUUUAUUUAAGCAGUGGUAAUAGUCAAGACUAAUUGAAAGGAAAGUCAGAAGAGCCAGCCAGUCAGUUCUCUAGAUGCUCAUGUUUCUAGGUGAGAAGUGCAGUGUUCAGAGUGUCUCAGAGAAAGUUUCCUUAUUCAUCAUUAUAUAGGGAAUACUGACUGUUGUGCUUCAUUAAGGUAACAGUUAUCAACACGAAUAUGACUGUAAAGCCGUGCAUCCCUUUUAAAGUCUCAGCCUCAGAGUCUGCUUCUUUCCAAAGGCCAGUCUGCUUAGGAGGUACCUUCACUUAAAACAACUAGUGUUUUUUUGUUUUGUUUUGUUUUGUUUUGUUUUGUUUUGUUUUGUUUUGUUAAGGAAUGACUUAGUAUAUGCCACAAAUAAGCUUAUUAUUAUUUGAAAUUAAGAAAGCUAAAGAAACCCUUUAGAGCAAUGGUUCUCAACCUUCCCAAUGCUGUGACAACCCUCUUAUAUAGUUCCCCUCAUUGUGGUAAGCACCAACCAUAAAAUUAUUUUUGUCACUUUCAUAACUAAUUUUUUUAGAGUUAUGAAUUGUAAUGUGAAUAUCUGUGUUUUCUGAUGGUCAUAGGCAAGUCCUGUGGGGGUGAGGUGGGGAGGACUGUAGGGGUCAUGACCCACAGGUUGAAAACCACUGUUCUAGCACCUUGGCUACUUUGCCUAGGCGUAAGAGAAAAUUUUGAGUUAGAUAUGUUUGCUUAUUUCCACAUUGUCAGUAGUCCCUCGACACUGAGUUUAAUGCUUGUUAUGUGGAUCAUAGCACACAGGAAGAUCAAUCAUUUUCUCUUCUUCUCUAGGGUGCUGUACUUACUCAUAACGCUAAGUAAGUAUUUUAAUAAAAGUAGAGCUGUGCUUAUUUAGUCUCUACAUCUUCCUAAAUCAACGUAGAGAGCUUCUCUGUCAUUUGUAUUUGUGUCAAACAUUAAUGUAGUAUGUAGGAAGUUGAGCUUGAUAGGGACUUAGUUGGUCAGACUUUGUUCACAUUAAAAAUGGGGGUUGUUUGAUUUCAGUAUACUACAAACUUUAGAAUUCUCUGUAGUCUAAUGUGCACUAUAUUUAUUAAAUAUUUUAAAUAUACUUCUUUAGUCAUCAAGUUUAGUUUUUAUUUAAAGACAUGUUCUUCAUAUGCUAAAUUUAUAGUCUCUUCAUGGUUAAGGUAUUGCCUUUUUACUAUAAUAUGCUAUUGGUAUAAUAAUGUUUUUCUUACAUCAACAUUUGUUUCAUUUAAUAAAGUGUUGUGCUAUAUUACAGUACUUUUGUGGGUCAGUGACUUCUUUUGAAAACUUAAACAUUUUAGUCAUUUGUUUUAACAAACUAAGUGUGUUCUUGUAUUGGUACAAUUAAAAUAUUUUCAAGUACUUAUUAGGAAUAGAAACUAAGGAAAAUUAAUCAGUAACUGUUUUUAUCCUAUUGUAGUUUUCAGAGUAUAGCCUCAUACAAGACUUAGUUUUUGAGUUUUAAAAACAUUUAAAAGUUUUUCUAUAUAGCCAAAAUUUACUGGUUACUAAGUUUUGAUACAAUUUUCACAGUUGUGUGUGUAAAUAGGAUAUACAAUCUACUAUUUUAAUCUUCUAUACUCUAUGUUUUUAAGAAAUUUAAUAGUAUCUCAUAAGUUUGUCAGUAGGCCUAGUUAACACAGAUUUUUCAAAUCCUGCUAGAUUUCACUUCUGCCAUGUAGGAUAUAAUGGUUAGUAGUACCUUCAGUUAUGAUUUUGUUUCAAUUUAUCAGAAUUAAUGCAAAUUUUCUACAUGAAAAUAACUUGUAAAAUCCUUUGGAUAUCUUAUAUUUUUUAUUUACUUGGCAAACAUUGACUUCAAGUGGGGUGCUAUUCUUUGAUUUUCUCUCUCUCUUGAAUUUUGGUGGUGCUAGGGUAGAGACCACCGCUUUAUGCUAUGUAAGCUUGGACUUGCAGCAUUACUUACUGGGAGUAAGCGAGAACACUAUAGAACUAUCCUAACACCCACACUGUCUGCCAUCAUGAGAGAGACGUCCUGAAAUGUAUCCUGAUGAAGGUGUCAGGAAGAAUUAGGUCAACUCUAAAGGGCAAAUGCUUCCCAGCAUCUUCUGAAAGCGCUCCCAAUACCACAACAGAUGUGAUGAAUGCAGACUGUGCUACCAUUUUGGCUGUUUAGAUCCUCCUUUGAAAAAAUCUCCUAAA
Molecule: RNA transcript, 9651 nt
Organism: Mus pahari (shrew mouse)
Lineage: Eukaryota; Metazoa; Chordata; Mammalia; Rodentia; Muridae
Gene: Phf14
Gene name: PHD finger protein 14
Exons: 18
Source: RefSeq, a predicted model, not a curated record